This 443-nucleotide ribosomal RNA is filed under the name uncultured Anaerolineaceae bacterium. RNAcentral's name for it is "bacterial SSU rRNA". It matches the Rfam family "Bacterial small subunit ribosomal RNA", at positions 336 to 795 of the family's 1533-position model. The record is from RNAcentral. Lineage: Bacteria; Bacillati; Chloroflexota; Anaerolineae; Anaerolineales; Anaerolineaceae.
UUCCUACGGGGGGCAGCAGUAGGGAAUAUUGGUUAAUGUGCGAAAGCGCGAACCAGCAACGCCGCGUGCGCGAUGAAGGCCUUCGGGUUGUAAAGCGCUUUUUGAGGGGAUGAGGAAGGACAGUACCCUCAGAAUAAGUCUCGGCUAACUACGUGCCAGCAGCCGCGGUAACACGUAGGAGACGAGCGUUAUCCGGAUUUACUGGGCGUAAAGCGCGUGCAGGCGGUCCAGAAAGUUGGAUGUGAAAGCUCCUGGCUUAACUGGGAGAGGUCGUUCAAAACUACUGGACUUGAGAGUGGUAGAGGGAGGUGGAAUUCCGGGUGUAGUGGUGAAAUGCGUAGAUAUCCGGAGGAACACCAGUGGCGAAAGCGGCCUCCUGGACCAUUUCUGACGCUCAGACGCGAAAGCUAGGGGAGCGAACGGGAUUAGAUACCCCAGUAGUC